AUGAAUGUUAAAUCUACCAAAAAUAAAAUUUUUACACCUAAAAUCAAAAUUAAAUUUGUGGUAUAAAUACUAUGGCCAAUCCCACAAGAACUAUUCUAUCCAAAUUUGCAUUUCAUUAUAACUAGAACAUGUCGUAGGCAAUUUUUGUGUCCACAACUCGUGAAACCUGUACAAAAAACAAAGGGGAUUAAAUAUGAAAAACAAAAAAUAAAGAAAAUUAAAUGAAAAUAAAAAUGUAAUCAAAAUAUACAAAUUGAAAUUGAAUAUAAAUAAAUUAACUAAAUGAAAACUAUAGCCUCAAGCACGAUUUUGACUUUGACCUUGAAUGAUCCCGAACAAUGAAUUUUCUCCUACUACCGAUAAAUUGAUUUUAGUGAUCGAGGAACAGUCUCAAACCACCAACCCUUCUGUAUGUAAAUUAAUUGCAGGAACAACUCAAAUGAUAACCCUUACCAAUCAAAUAACAUUAAAGGCAACUUCUACAAUUUAAUUUUGAGACGGUCUUGUGAACUAGGACUCAGCUCAAAUUAAUGACCUCAAGUGAGCGGAUUGUUUAAACUUGAUUGUUAAUUCUCUUUACAUAUUCAACUAUUUAUUCAAUUAGUGACGUCAAUUUAUUUUUUAGUGGAUUGAUAAUUACGAAUUGUAUCGAUUCACCGAGUGUAUAUCGUCUACCCUUUUUAAUUAAGAAUUAACGAAUAUCGAAGCAGAGAAUACAAAUGGGAUCUCCAACAUCGAAUAAAUAAUUUACCUUAAGCUAGAUUAAAUCUAACUAAAGAACAAGAAAGGAAAAUAAUUAAAAGUAAUUAAAGCUAAACAAGAACAAUCAUUGGUGUGUAGUGUAGUGUAUGCUGCCGCCCCUUUUCACUGCCUAAUACAUCUAUAUAUAAUAAUAAUAAAAAAUAAAAAUAAAACUUUGUUGAGAUAAUUAAUCCUAAACCUCAAAUACGAAUUAUAAAACAAAAAUAAAACUAAAGAUGAUGCUGCCUCUCCCCGUACUAAAAAUAUCUCAUAAAUAAACAAAUAAAGACAAUACUCUUUACUUUAAAAAAAAAAUCUAUCUAAUAACACAACAUCUAUACAAAUAUUUUAAAAAUUCACACAAAUUUUUCUCUAAUACAAGACAUUUCAUCAACUGUUUUAAAAAUGAAUUAAUUGCGUUAAAUAAAAUUACCUUGUAAUCAAGGCAAUUAAGUAUAAUAUUUUGUUAUGUUGAACCUUAAAUGGGUACAAUAUUUUAAAAACAUUAGAAACUUAAACAUACACCAUUUUUGUAUGGCACAAUAUAUACUUAAUUUAUACCCUAUUUUUAUGUUCUUUCCAAAAGAACCGAAGCUUAUUAUUGUAAUUUAAUAAAUUAAAAAUGGACGACGCCUUAAUCAUAACCAAUUUUUUCUUCAACGUCACAUCCAAACCGGCAUUAAAAAAAGAGAGGAAAGAGUAUCACUUUUUAUAAUUAAAUAUUCAACAAAUUAUUUUAAGUAAUUUAUUGUUUUUCCUUAAAGAACUAAUUAAUUAUUUAUUAUGUAAAAUCUUUUGAUGGUAAUAAUAUUAUUCAUAUAUUAUGACCAUAACCAUUUAAAAUUGACUAUAUAUUAAUGUGUGAAUCAAAUUCGGAAUCAUUUUAAAGUAAAAACCUAAAAUAAGAUCAUUCUUGAAUGGACUGAAUUUGGAUUUAAAUCAAACUCUAAGCAAAUAUACAAUAGAACUAUUUUAAUUUUUUUUUAAAAAAAGUUAUGUAUAGAUUAAAAAUAUGCCUACUAAAUUUAUGAUAAUUUAUCAAAAUUAAUUAUUUUAAAUAAAUUAUUAUUUAAUUUGAAAAAAGAGCUUAUUUAAAUUUAUAUUAGAUUUGUAAUUUUGUUUAAGUGGCAAUUGAGAUAAUAAUCCUAAAAAUAAAUAGAAUAUGGAUUUCAAUCUAUUUGAAAAUAGAUGCAUGGACAAAAAUUGUCUAAAUACUUCAUUCAAAAUAAAAAUUAAUACUUUUAGCUCCUCUGCAAUUAAUUGAAAAAUUGAAAUCGAUUUUUGUCGAUUUUGAAUAUGCAAUAUUUUAAUGUUUAAAGGUUUAAUUUAAAAAUUUAAAUUUAAUUGAUAACUCAUAUUUAAAUUUAUAGACUUAACUUAAUAAUGUUAUCAAUUUAACUUUAAUUUUUAAAUAAAAAAAGUAGAUGGAUGAAAUUCUUAAAACUAAAAGCAAGUAGAGGGACUUAAUCCAAAAGUUAAAAAAGAAAAGGGACUGAGGGAUAAUUAUACCUUUUUCCCUCCGUUACUUUCUCUAAAAAAAAAAAAAACCCAGCUGCUUACGUUUUAAUAUAUAGUUAUAGAUUAUUACUAUUAUUUUAUGAUAAGAGCUCCUUUUUGACCCAUUGGAUCAACAUAUGUAAACGGAUAAUAACAAUAACAAUAACCAAACGACGCCGCACAAUAGCAACAAAGGGAUAAAAUCGAGAAAACAGAAAAGGGCAGUCGAAUACUUUCUAUUAAAAUUCUUAUGCUAUUACUGAUUCAUCAUGGCUAAUUUUUAAUCAUCACUUGUUUUUCUAUCAAUUUGUAAUGGAUGGUCUCCCGAUUGUGCUGAAUUUACACUCAUUUCAUCAUUUUUACUCUUUUUUAUUUUGUUAUCUUUUUUGCUAUAAAGAAUUGAGUAUAUAUUUUUAUAAGAAAUUAAAAUAUAAUUUUAUUAUUGUAUAAAAUAUCUUUUAUAUUUUAAUCCGAAAUUUAGGUUGUUAGCUACAGGUAAAGUUGACGACGGUUUGGUAAAUAUGGUUCAAAGUUGGUCAAAUGAAAUGGACUAACCAUAUUCCAUUUAUUCUCUAAACCCCUUUCAGAUUCAUUUGUUAUAUUGCUUCCUAUUUUCUAUGAUUCUUUAGCUGGUUUGUUUAUAGUUCACUAGGCUUCGGUUUUUAAUGAAAGAAAUCUAUGGCAGUUUUAAUGCUAUGGGAUUGCAAGAGAAUCUUCUUAGAGGCAUAUAUGCUUAUGGUAACUCGGUCUUAUUGCUACUACUUUGUUGGUCAAUUACUGGGAAUUCAAAUUCGGCUGCUUUGAAUUUAGGUUUUUAACUUACAUGUAAAGGUUUUUUUUAUGCUCUUCAUUUCUUUGUAUUUAUCACGAACCUACUCUUUUACAUGCCUAGUACUGUACUGAAAGCUGCUUGCUAAGUCAUAUGUUUCAGUAAAGGGUUUGAGAAGCAAUCUGCAAUUCAGCAAAGGGGGAUUGUACCAUUUUCAAGGGACUUGAUGUGAUUCAACAAGCACAGUCCGGAACAGGAAACACAACAACUCUAUGCUCUGGAGUUCUACAGCAAAUUAGCACAACAAAUCAUCAGGCUUUAGGUGAUUACGUACCUUGGUGUUAAGGUUCAUGUUUGCGUAGGUGACCAGUAUCUACGACGACCUACAGAUUCUCUCCAGUGGGGUUCACCUAGCCGUGUGCUCAAGAAAGUUAAGAC
This 3445-nucleotide long non-coding RNA is filed under the name Gossypium barbadense (sea-island cotton). RNAcentral describes it as "long non-coding RNA (GBAR_LNC005179)". Lineage: Eukaryota; Viridiplantae; Streptophyta; Magnoliopsida; Malvales; Malvaceae. The record is from RNAcentral.